This 250-nucleotide ribosomal RNA is filed under the name uncultured bacterium. RNAcentral describes it as "partial 16S ribosomal RNA". It matches the Rfam family "Bacterial small subunit ribosomal RNA", at positions 355 to 596 of the family's 1533-position model. The record is from RNAcentral.
UGGGGAAUAUUGGACAAUGGGGGGAACCCUGAUCCAGCCAUGCCGCGUGUGUGAAGAAGGCCUUUUGGUUGUAAAGCACUUUAAGCGAGGAGGAGGCUACCGAGAUUAAUACUCUUGGAUAGUAGACGUUACUCGCAGAAUAAGCACCGGCUAACUCUGUGCCAGCAGCCGCGGUAAUACAGAGGGUGCAAGCGUUAAUCGGAUUUACUGGGCGUAGAGCGUGCGUAGGCGGCUUUUUAAGUCGGAUGUG